RNAcentral lists this ribosomal RNA (558 nucleotides) under uncultured archaeon. Its description in RNAcentral is "bacterial SSU rRNA". It matches the Rfam family "Archaeal small subunit ribosomal RNA", at positions 788 to 1353 of the family's 1478-position model. The record is from RNAcentral.
UGCCCACCCAGUGGCGCAGGGAAGCCGUAAGCCCGCCGCCUGGGAGUACGGCGCAAGCUGAAACUCAAAGGAGUGGCGGGGAGCACACAAGGGAUGGAGCCUGCGGUUCAAUGGAGUCAACGCCGGGAAUCUUACCGGGGGAGACAGCAGGAUGACGCCCAGGUUAAAGCCCUUGCCCGACGCGCUGAGAGGAGGUGCAUGGCCGUCGCCAGCUCGUGUCGUGAGAUGUCCGGUUAAGUCCGGCAACGAGCGAGACCCCCACCCCCAGUUGCUACCCCGGCCUCUGGGCCGGGGGCACACUGGGGGGACUGCCGCCGUUUAAGGCGGAGGAAGGAGGGGGCCACGGCAGGUCAGCAUGCCCCGAAUCCCCCGGGCUACACGCGGGCUACAAUGGCGGGGACAGCGGGUGCCGACCCCGAAAGGGGGAGGCAAUCCCUCAAACCCCGCCGCAGUUGGGAUCGAGGGCUGCAACUCGCCCUCGUGAACGUGGAAUCCCUAGUAACCGCGCGUCAACAUCGCGCGGUGAAUACGUCCCUGCUCCUUGCACUCACCGCCCGU